This 84-nucleotide transfer RNA is filed under the name Mustela putorius furo (domestic ferret). It matches the Rfam family "tRNA". Rfam says of the family: Transfer RNA (tRNA) molecules are approximately 80 nucleotides in length. Their secondary structure includes four short double-helical elements and three loops (D, anti-codon, and T loops). The record is from Rfam by way of RNAcentral. Lineage: Eukaryota; Metazoa; Chordata; Mammalia; Carnivora; Mustelidae.
GCCUGGGUAGCUUAGUCAGUUAAGCAUCUGCCUUCAGCUCAGUUCAUGAUCCCAGUGUUUUGGGUUCUAGUCCCACAUCAGGCU